Molecule: long non-coding RNA, 642 nt
Organism: Oncorhynchus tshawytscha (Chinook salmon)
Lineage: Eukaryota; Metazoa; Chordata; Actinopteri; Salmoniformes; Salmonidae
Source: Ensembl
UGUUCUGUGUGUGUGUGUGUGUGUGUAGUCCCACCCUGUGUGUGUGUGUGUAUUCCCACCCUGUGUUCUGUGUGUGUGUGUGUGUAGUCCCACCCUGUGUUCUGUGUGUGUGUGUGUGUGUGUGUGUGUGUGUGUGUGUGUGUGUGUGUGUAGUCCCACCCUGUGUUCUGUGUGUGUGUGUGUGUGUGUAGUCCCACCCUGUGUGUGUGUGUGUGUGUAGUCCCACCCUGUGUGUGUGUGUGUGUGUGUGUGUGUGUGUGUGUGUGUGUGUGUGUGUGUGUGUGUAGUCCCACCCUGUGUUCUGUGUGUGUAUUCCCACCCAGUGUUCUGUGUGUGUGUGUGUGUGUGUAGUCCCACCCUGUGUGUGUGUGUGUAUUCCCACCCUUCCCACCCUGUGUGUGUGUGUGUAGUCCCACCCUGUGUGUGUGUGUGUAGUCCCACCCUGUGUUCUGUGUGUGUGUGUGUGUGUGUGUGUGUGUGUGUGUGUGUGUGUAGUCCCACCCUGUGUUCUGUGUGUGUGUGUGUGUGUGUAGUGUGUGUGUGUGUGUGUGUAGUCCCACCCUGUGUUCUGUGUGUGUGUGUGUGUGUGUGUGUGUGUGUGUGUGUGUAGUCCCACCCUGUGUUCUGUGUGUGUGUGUGUGU